Molecule: non-coding RNA, 2391 nt
Organism: Peromyscus maniculatus bairdii (prairie deer mouse)
Lineage: Eukaryota; Metazoa; Chordata; Mammalia; Rodentia; Cricetidae
Source: RefSeq, a predicted model, not a curated record
CUUUAUUGGGAGCAUCGCCGCAGGGCGCACAGUCUCAGGACAGGACUUCGAACAACUUUUUUUUUUUUUUUUUUUAAAGAACCAUAACAUUUUUAUUAUAGUUUUCGAGUCAUAGAACACUACGUGUACCACCCAGGAAAACCCGAUUUCACUGGACAACUACCCCUCGCUGCCUGCAGACCUUCAUUGCUCACACUGGGCACAGCACAGAGCUGGUCGCAGGAACAUCUGCCUGCGCCCUCAUCCUCCAACCAGGAAGACACCUGAGUUUUCAUCUUGUGUGGCUGGAGGAGCUGACUCAGAAGGUGGCUUACGUGAUUUGCCUUUCCUGAAUGGAUUGCUUCUGCCAAGACUCCCGUCAUGGACUUACAGAAUGUCUUCUCCACUGAUACGGUGUUCCACACAGUAUUGCUUCUGACCAAGGAACUCCCUUCACAGGCAGAGAGGAGUGUGACAGUGGGUCCAUGACCGUGGAAUCCACUGCUCUUACCAUGUCCCCCACCAGUCUGGAGCAGCUGAUAGAAAGAUGGAUGGCCUUUUGGAGACACAGUUAUAAUGCCAAUUAGGUGGCAGCAGCCUGGAGGGCGGGGGCAGGGGUCUCCAGAAGGCAGUAUAUGCUUUGAAUCAUCAGCAUCUAAUGUAUGGCAUGGUUUCUCCCAUAGCCAGGGUCCAUGGGUCCAGGAAGCAAGGAGUGAAAAAGGGAAUAGUUCCACUCAUUAUCACCCCUAGUGACCCACUAGAAAAGUUUUUUCUUCCUGUUCUCCCAAUCUUAGUUUCUGCUGAUCUGGAAGUUUUGGCUCCAGAGUGGGGAGUGUUCCUGCCAGGAGCCACGACAAGUAACUCCAUUGAACUGGAAGCUCAGAUUUCCCUCUGGUCACUUUGGUCUUCUACUGCCCUUAAACCAACAGGCUAAGAAAGGAACACCAGUGUUAGGAGGGGUGAUUGAUCCAGAUUACCACGGGGAAAUUGGAUUGCCGCUUCACAGUGGAGGUAAGAAGGAUUAUGUGUGAGUGCAGGAGACACUUUAGGGUGUCUCUUGGUGCUACCACGCCCUGUGAUUAAAAUCCAUGGGGAACUACAACAGUCUCACCCAGGCAGGGUGACAGGGGACACAGACCCAUCAGGAAAGAAGGCAUGAGUCACUCCUCCAGGAAAAGAGCCAAGCCCUGCUGAGGUUCUUGCUGAGGGUGGGGGAAAUACAGAAUAGUAUGUGACCAGUUGCAGAAAAGAGGAUUAGAAUUGGCAUGAGUGUUUCUGUCGUAUUUUGUUAAGAAUGUGUUUACAGUGUCACUGUGUGUCUGUGUGCGUUCAGGCAGAUCUGAAUGAAAACUCAGAGGCACCUUAAGAAUGAAUCUAGCCUUUCACAGCUACAGGGGGAUCCAGCCUCUAAGGACUGAAGCACUUUGCUUUCGCCCAGAGCAUUUUUAUUUUUCUCAAUAUUUACACUUUAGCCAGUUGAUUUUCAUAAGCUCAAAACAACCUGAAAGAAGCUCCAAAAAAAUACAAUGCCAAGUGCAAAUUCCUUGAUUCAUUGGGUACCAUAGUUUUUCAGGUUUCCUGACCCAAGUUUUCGCAUAGGCCUUUGCAUCUUUGGGAGACUCUCAGACAAGAUUCACACAGUGGGCAACAAGAGAAACAAAAGGUAACAGAGAAACAGACGAUGGAUUACGGCUACUUGCUAUCACUCUGGAGCUAGGCUAGGUGUAGCCCAGUGGGAAUUCUACCACAGUACAGAUAUUUAUGUUUUCUUUCCUCAAUUUCUUUAUCAUGAGAUGUAAUAGCAGUUAAGAGAAUAUCAAUGGUUAUCAUAUUUUAAAUUUGAGAUACUAAAAGAAUGUCCCUCAAGGAUCAUUGCCACCUAGUCUAAAUUUAUAAUGCACUUGUAGUGGUACAAGGAAUAGUUAUAUCGUGUCAGGUGUAAUUAUGGCCUGGUUAAAUAUGUAAUUCAUUUGCAAUUUGGGGGGGAUAGUUAUAUUAUGUUUAGGCACUCUUACUACCUGGCUAUUAUUUUCUUUUGAAAAUUAAUCACGACAUAAGGAGAUAUGAUUGUGUGUUAAGUUAACAAGAGGCUGACUUGUGAUGUCUAUUCUUGGUUGUCAACUUGACUACAUCUGGAAUUAAUUAAAACACAAAAAUAGAGGACACAUCUGGGAGGGAUUUCUGCUUAAUUUGAAGUGGGAAGAUCUACUUCUAAUCUGGAUCUCUGAGGUAGGAAGACACCUCUAAUCCAGAUCUUGAACCUAGAUUGAAUUUGGGCCACAUCUCUACUGGAAGCCUACAAAAGGAUAUAGAAGAAGGAAGCUUUUGUUCUUUGCCUGCUUGCUCUCGCUUGCUAGCAAGUCCAUUCCUUCACUGGCAUUAGAGCCUGCUUCUUCGGGAUUCCAGCAUAAC